Molecule: ribosomal RNA, 987 nt
Filed under: Fusarium keratoplasticum
Lineage: Eukaryota; Fungi; Ascomycota; Sordariomycetes; Hypocreales; Nectriaceae
Description: partial large subunit ribosomal RNA
Rfam family: Eukaryotic large subunit ribosomal RNA
Source: RNAcentral
UGCCCCAGUAACGGCGAGUGAAGCGGCAACAGCUCAAAUUUGAAAUCUGGCUCUCGGGCCCGAGUUGUAAUUUGUAGAGGAUGCUUUUGGUGAGGUGCCUUCCGAGUUCCCUGGAACGGGACGCCAUAGAGGGUGAGAGCCCCGUCUGGUUGGACACCGAUCCUCUGUAAAGCUCCUUCGACGAGUCGAGUAGUUUGGGAAUGCUGCUCUAAAUGGGAGGUAUAUGUCUUCUAAAGCUAAAUACCGGCCAGAGACCGAUAGCGCACAAGUAGAGUGAUCGAAAGAUGAAAAGAACUUUGAAAAGAGAGUUAAACAGUACGUGAAAUUGUUGAAAGGGAAGCGCUUGUGACCAGACUUGGGCUUGGUUGAUCAUCCGGGGUUCUCCCCGGUGCACUCUUCCGGCCCAGGCCAGCAUCAGUUCGCCCUGGGGGACAAAGGCUUCGGGAAUGUGGCUCUCUCCGGGGAGUGUUAUAGCCCGUUGCGUAAUACCCUGUGGCGGACUGAGGUUCGCGCAUUCGCAAGGAUGCUGGCGUAAUGGUCAUCAGUGACCCGUCUUGAAACACGGACCAAGGAGUCGUCUUCGUAUGCGAGUGUUCGGGUGUCAAACCCCUACGCGAAAUGAAAGUGAACGCAGGUGAGAGCUUCGGCGCAUCAUCGACCGAUCCUGAUGUUAUCGGAUGGAUUUGAGUAAGAGCAUACGGGGCCGGACCCGAAAGAAGGUGAACUAUGCCUGUGUAGGGUGAAGCCAGAGGAAACUCUGGUGGAGGCUCGCAGCGGUUCUGACGUGCAAAUCGAUCGUCAAACAUGGGCAUGGGGGCGAAAGACUAAUCGAACCUUCUAGUAGCUGGUUUCCGCCGAAGUUUCCCUCAGGAUAGCAGUGUUGAACUCAGUUUUAUGAGGUAAAGCGAAUGAUUAGGGACUCGGGGGCGCUAUUUAGCCUUCAUCCAUUCUCAAACUUUAAAUAUGUAAGAAGCCCUUGUUGCUUAA